GUUUUCCAGUGUAGCUAGCUUUCUUAAACCAGCUCCUCGCGAAUGGCAUUCAUGACUGUGGGUGUGAUGCCCUGGACAGUCCCUGGUUCUACAGAAUCUCUGAGGAGCCUUUAGGUGAUGGUAUAUGUGGCCAGCUAACUGGCUCUCAUCUGGCUUCGACUGUGCAGCCAGAAAAAAAAAAGUGACUGCUCAUUAAGGCAUUACUCCAAAAUGGUGAUUACUAACCCCCCAAAUCAAUGCCACAUCCGGGAGCCUGAGUCUCGGGUUGACUGGCGUCAUCUAGGCAUGUCCUUCAUAAUUGUCAUGUACAGUGCUUGAGCAUC
Molecule: long non-coding RNA, 323 nt
Organism: Perognathus longimembris pacificus (Pacific pocket mouse)
Lineage: Eukaryota; Metazoa; Chordata; Mammalia; Rodentia; Heteromyidae
Exons: 3
Source: RefSeq, a predicted model, not a curated record